Molecule: long non-coding RNA, 373 nt
Organism: Branchiostoma floridae (Florida lancelet)
Lineage: Eukaryota; Metazoa; Chordata; Leptocardii; Amphioxiformes; Branchiostomatidae
Exons: 2
Source: RefSeq, a predicted model, not a curated record
GUCAGCUGACAAUUGCAGGCUGCUCACAAACGCCAUUGGCCCGUUUGGUGUCUGCCACGGCACCGUGGAUCCUGAACGUUUCUUCACCAGCUGCGUGUUUGACAUGUGUGCGUUGAGCGGAGACGCCGUGGGACUGUGUCAGAAUCUGGAGGCGUACGCUGUCGCCUGUCGGGCUGCUGGUGUGGCGCCGUUUUCCUGGCGGACAGAAGAGCGAUGUCCUGUGGUGUGCCCGCCGAACAGUCACUACUCUAUAUGCACAAGCUACUGCCCUGCGACCUGUGCAGACCCCUACUCAGAAGAGUACUGUUACAAUAUAUGUGUGGAGGGCUGUGAAUGUAACCAUGGAUUCCUCCUUAGUGGACAAGAGUGUGUU